GAGAAAGACAUAGUGGUUAUGAAAUUGGCUUGAAACCAGUUGUGGGGGGUUCGAAUCCUUCCUUUCUUA
This 69-nucleotide transfer RNA is filed under the name Rattus tanezumi (Oriental house rat). RNAcentral's name for it is "tRNA-Ser". It matches the Rfam family "tRNA". From Rfam's summary of the family: Transfer RNA (tRNA) molecules are approximately 80 nucleotides in length. The record is from RNAcentral. RNAcentral also lists the same sequence under 3 other names. Lineage: Eukaryota; Metazoa; Chordata; Mammalia; Rodentia; Muridae.